GCAUAUCAAUAAGCGGAGGAAAAGAAACCAACAGGGAUUGCCUCAGUAACGGCGAGUGAAGCGGCAAAAGCUCAAAUUUGAAAUCUGGCUCCCUUCGGGGGCCCGAGUUGUAAUUUGCAGAGGAUGCUUCGGGUGCGGCCGCGGCGUAAGUCCCUUGGAACAGGGCGUCAUAGAGGGUGAGAAUCCCGUCUUGAGCCGCUGGUCCCGCGCCCGUGUGAAGCUCCUUCGACGAGUCGAGUUGUUUGGGAAUGCAGCUCUAAGUGGGUGGUAAAUUUCAUCUAAAGCUAAAUACUGGUCGGAGACCGAUAGCGCACAAGUAGAGUGAUCGAAAGGUUAAAAGCACCUUGAAAAGGGAGUUAAACAGCACGUGAAAUUGUUGAAAGGGAAGCGCUUGCGGCCAGACUCGGGGGCGGGGGUUCAGCGAGCUCUCGUAGCUCGUGCACUCUCCCGUUUCCCGGGCCAGCAUCAGUUUCGGCGGUCGGUCAAAGGCUCCGGGAAUGUGUCGUCUUUAGGGACGUCUUAUAGCCCGGGGUGCAAUGCGGCCUGCUGGGACUGAGGAACGCGCUUCGGCUCGGAUGCUGGCAUAAUGGCCGUAAGCGGCCCGUCUUGAAACACGGACCAAGGAGUCUAACAUCCACGCGAGUGUUCGGGUGUCAAACCCGUGCGCGAAGUGAAAGCGAACGGAGGUGGGAACCCUUAACGGGGGGCACCAUCGACCGAUCCUGAAGUCUUCGGAUGGAUUUGAGUAGGAGCGUGGCCGUUAGGACCCGAAAGAUGGUGAACUAUGCCUGAAUAGGGUGAAGCCAGAGGAAACUCUGGUGGAGGCUCGCAGCGGUUCUGACGUGCAAAUCGAUCGUCGAAUUUGGGCAUAGGGGCGAAAGACUAAUCGAACCAUCUAGUAGCUGGUUCCUGCCGA
Molecule: ribosomal RNA, 916 nt
Filed under: Shanorella spirotricha
Lineage: Eukaryota; Fungi; Ascomycota; Eurotiomycetes; Onygenales
Description: LSU rRNA
Rfam family: Eukaryotic large subunit ribosomal RNA
Source: RNAcentral